RNAcentral lists this transfer RNA (72 nucleotides) under Camelus bactrianus (Bactrian camel). It matches the Rfam family "tRNA". From Rfam's summary of the family: Transfer RNA (tRNA) molecules are approximately 80 nucleotides in length. Their secondary structure includes four short double-helical elements and three loops (D, anti-codon, and T loops). The record is from Rfam by way of RNAcentral. RNAcentral also lists the same sequence under 2 other names. Lineage: Eukaryota; Metazoa; Chordata; Mammalia; Artiodactyla; Camelidae.
GUGGGUAUAGCUCAGGGGCAGAGGGCAUGCAUAGCAUGUAUGAGGUCCUGGGUUCAACCCCCAGUACUUCCA